CGGUACGAUUCAUAAUUUGGCUUCUCACAUACGCUUGAAAACACAAAACCCUAACUCUAACUCUCUCUGGUGAACAAGAAUCCUCUGCGUCUCUCUCUCAGUACCAUCGGCGACAACCUUCAAUCGGAUCUUUCAAUCAUCAUUCUAUCGAAAUUGACGGAUAAUCCAUUGAGUUUAAGGGUGUUCAAGAUCUUGAUGUUAACCCAGUACGAAACAAGGCACUUACAAAUAUAAGAUCUGCUGGAAAUGAUGAGAAUGUGAAGCUAUCACCACCUUGCAGAAUGACACUUGAAGAAGCUAUUGGAUAUGUGGCAUCUGAUGAGC
Helianthus annuus (common sunflower) is the source of this 324-nucleotide long non-coding RNA. RefSeq lists it as uncharacterized. NCBI's taxonomy places the organism in Eukaryota, Viridiplantae, Streptophyta, Magnoliopsida, Asterales, Asteraceae. The record is from RefSeq and is a predicted model, not a curated record. The transcript has 4 exons.